Molecule: small nuclear RNA, 107 nt
Filed under: Neotoma lepida (desert woodrat)
Lineage: Eukaryota; Metazoa; Chordata; Mammalia; Rodentia; Cricetidae
Source: RNAcentral
GUGCUCGCUUUGGCAGCACAUAGACUAAAAUUGGAACAAUACAGAGAAAAUUAGCGUGGCCCCUGCGCAAGGAAGACAUGCAAGUUCGUGAAGCNUUCCAUAUUUUA